GUCUGAACCAGCCAAGUAGCGUGCAGGAUGACGGCCCUAUGGGUUGUAAACUGCUUUUAUAAGGGAAUAAAGUGAGUCUCGUGAGACUUUUUGCAUGUACCUUAUGAAUAAGGACCGGCUAAUUCCGUGCCAGCAGCCGCGGUAAUACGGAAGGUCCGGGCGUUAUCCGGAUUUAUUGGGUUUAAAGGGAGCGUAGGCCGGAGAUUAAGCGUGUUGUGAAAUGUAGACGCUCAACGUCUGCACUGCAGCGCGAACUGGUUUCCUUGAGUACGCACAAAGUGGGCGGAAUUCGUGGUGUAGCGGUGAAAUGCUUAGAUAUCACGAAGAACUCCGAUUGCGAAGGCAGCUCACUGGAGCGCAACUGACGCUGAAGCUCGAAAGUGCGGGUAUCGAACAGGAUUAGAUACCCUGGUAGUCCGCACGGUAAACGAUGGAUGCCCGCUGUUGGUCUGAAUAGGUCAAGCGGCCAAGCGAAAGCAUUAAGCAUCCCACCUGGGGAGUACGCCGGCAACGGUGAAACUCAAAGGAAUUGACGGGGGGCCCGCACAAGCGGAGGAACAUGUGGUUUAAUUCGAUGAUACGCGAGGAACCUUACCCGGGCUUGAAUUGCAGAGGAAGGAUUUGGAGACAAUGACGCCCUUCGGGGUCUCUGUGAAGGUGCUGCAUGGUUUGUC
Molecule: ribosomal RNA, 674 nt
Filed under: uncultured bacterium
Lineage: Bacteria
Description: bacterial SSU rRNA
Rfam family: Bacterial small subunit ribosomal RNA
Source: RNAcentral